CGCCGCGGAAGGUAAACACGGCGUGCGCGCGGCCACGUGAGUCCCGCGCCGGGCACCGGGAACCGGGCACCAGGCACCGUCGCGCCUCCCGCUCCGCCUUCGGCCUGCCGAGCGAGCUCUGAAAUGCAUGAAACUCCUUUAUACUGGGCACCAUUUUGGAGAGUUGGUAAUUUUCUAAGGCAUGUUUUCCACGCCAUCUGCGCAAAGUUGGGACACUGGGGCUCUCCUGGCCUGCAUGUGCCAGCAGUGCUCAGAGACAGAGCUGCACCCCGUGGUGUGGGGCCCGGGAUUGGCGUCCAGGCCGCCCACACUACCUCCCGGCCCCGAGGCCAGUGCCCCUGACAUUCGGGCAUGUGGAGCACGUUCCGGUCCUCACUAAGUUUCCUGGAUCUUCUCUGUCUGUCUGCGGUGCCUGUCUGGUGUUUCUCCGCCUGCCCCGCCUGCCCCAGCCUCCAGCUCACCCCGGCACCCGGCUUCCUGCAAUGCCCGCCCUCCACACCGGGGCGGCCUCUGGGUGCACAUGUCCUUCUGCUCUGCCACCACGUUUCCCGAUGCUGCUUCUGCCGCCCAGGUCUCUCCAGACGGCACAGCGAGGGGAGCCUUCUCUGGGCUGCCUUUGGCGGCUGUGCUGAAUCAGCACUCCCGGUUUCGUUCGUCUUGGGUUGUCACGAGCCUAUUGGCUGCGGACCUGGGGCCUGUCCCCAGCUCACGGGCGCCCCCUGCCCCCCGGGGGCCGCCACUGCGCCUGCUCCCCCCACCCUGUGCCUGCAAUGCUUCCUAUGGGGCCUCCCCGUCCAGGCAACUUCCUGAUGGCCUCUGCCCCUCUUCUCUGCACCCCAGCAUCCUGGGGAUGGUUUCUCCCCCUCCCACCUGGCCCGCUGCUUCCUGCCAUCUCUGGGGCUGCCAGGGAUAGAAGCUGCUGGGAGACACCGCCCUGGGCUCCCGCAUCUUCCCAGCCUGACCCGUGGUGCCCCAGGCUAGGCCCCGCAGCCCGCUGGCCACCUUAGCUGCUGUGAGUGCCCCUGUGCAGCACAGCGCGGGGACACACACACGUUCACGAAUAAGCACAUACGCGCGUACACACAGCCUCUCUCCGCCACAGCUUAGGCGCGCGCACACACACCCAUAAAUCCAGAUGGGGUGGGGGUGCCCUCGGGAGUCACCAGGACAGCCUGCCUCUUCUUAACAUUUAUUUUUUAAUUUUUAAAAAUUUAAUUAAAGUCUUAAAAUUUCAUGUUAAAAUGUUUCAGUUUGGUGCC
Molecule: long non-coding RNA, 1259 nt
Organism: Sorex araneus (European shrew)
Lineage: Eukaryota; Metazoa; Chordata; Mammalia; Eulipotyphla; Soricidae
Exons: 4
Source: RefSeq, a predicted model, not a curated record